RNAcentral lists this long non-coding RNA (789 nucleotides) under Panax ginseng (ginseng). RNAcentral describes it as "long non-coding RNA (PGIN_LNC007206)". The record is from RNAcentral. Lineage: Eukaryota; Viridiplantae; Streptophyta; Magnoliopsida; Apiales; Araliaceae.
GUUUCUGGGCUUUCUAAAGUGUUAGGAUUGUAGUACUAAUGUAAUACUACAAUCCCAAUCAAGUUUCAUGGCAAUCCUACAUCAUAACAGAAAGAUAUAGGCCUCCAAAAGUCCGUCCCGAUCUCGUCUAUGUUUCUCAUCACGCCAACGACAGGUUUCUAUCUUCUGUCCAACGACAGGUUUAUUAUGGGUCAUGCUUUGAGGAUAGCAUCUGAUUCCUGUCUCUCAUCUUUGGAAUUUGUUUCUAUGUAUUUGUCUCUCCUUUUUAUUUUCUUAUUCUUUGCUUACUUCCCCUCAUAGUUAGCAGUGUUAAAUUGGGUAUAUGGGUUUUCUCUAAUAAAUUGUGUUUGUUUUGUGCACAGGACUCUUCGGGGACGACGUUGAUGGAUCUGAUAACUUCAGACCCGACGCCGAUACCAUCGUCUGCUCCUCCACCUCCUUCUCCCUCUUCAGUGUCACCCGCGGCAUUGCCGCCUCCGAGCAGCGAAAUCGGAAAGCCGUUGAUCUUCAUUUUUACCCCUCAGAAAAUUUUAGGUGUUUGAUAAAGUUUCAUGUUUAGAUUGAGUUUUUUAGAACCCGCAUUUGAUUAUGAUUUCCUUUUCCUUUGAGUCUUAUGGUGCAUGUUGAUGUCUUCCCCUGCCCUCCUCCUUCCCCUUCACACUCAUGGUAGUCAUACGGAAUACCUAUGUUCUGGGUAAUGCACCUGAUUCAAAACACGAUUUUGCAGUGACGGAAGACUUUUCCUGUCCAUUCUGCUUGGUAAAAUGUGCAAGCUAUAAUGUAGUCCUG